AUCUGAUGGUGGGGACAGUUUGCACAAAGUGUCUUGAAUCUCUCCCAAUACUCAUAUAAGCUCUCUCCACCAAACUGCCUAAUCCUAGUUAUGUCUUUCCUGAUAGCU
RNAcentral lists this small nucleolar RNA (108 nucleotides) under Vigna radiata var. radiata (mung bean). Its description in RNAcentral is "Plant small nucleolar RNA R71". It matches the Rfam family "Plant small nucleolar RNA R71". From Rfam's summary of the family: R71 is a member of the C/D box family of snoRNAs containing the C (UGAUGA) and D (CUGA) box motifs. Multiple nearly identical copies of this snoRNA have been identified in Arabidopsis, and it is thought to function as a 2'-O-ribose methylation guide for 18S ribosomal RNA. The record is from Rfam by way of RNAcentral. Lineage: Eukaryota; Viridiplantae; Streptophyta; Magnoliopsida; Fabales; Fabaceae.